GGGGCCCAGCUUCUAUUGUAAACAAAUAGAAGUCUGGCAUGAGCGGAAUAAUGGCCGACGCGAUGAUAAUAGUAAGUUAACCAAAUAUUUUUAAAAAGUGGUUCGUCGGGCUCUCAUUCAUUUUUCAAUCGAGAUGCAUAUAUUUCAUUCUGUAAACGUUCUUCCUUUUUUCGAGUUCUUCCGCAUAUAAGAGUUAAUUAAUGUUCCAUAACCUGAGUAUGUUUCGGACAAGUACACAGAUAGUGUUAUUUCGGAUGUCUGAGUAAAUUUGUAACAUACUGUAUUUCUGACGUAUGUUUGAGUAGUGUGACAAAUAUGAAUGCAUUGCGGUGUGGUUAUCUUUGAUUAACAUUGCAUCUUUAUGUAUUCAGGCCUUUUUCCAGUUUAACCACAGUCGAAUUUCAGACCUGCUUUUCCCAGAUUAACAAAAAUGCUUCUAAAAAUCUUUUCUAAACUCCAUUAAAAAUGGUUCAUGGUUUUCAAAACAAAGUUAUUUUAUUAAUUCAUAAAUCAUAUUUCAGAUGGAUCAUACUUAUAUAAAAGGGGAGAGAGUGUCUGGGUUUCAAGUGAUCGGGAGUAGGUCUGGCCCAGAUCACAUAUAAAGUUCCUGUGCCCCCAAAGACUCAAGUACCCCUCCGAAACGAGGAAGCAAGAGGGCAGUGUCAACUCCCACAGGACAAACACCUACACAUAAACAUAAAAGGAUUGAACUGGAUGAAAAAACCAGACACAACAAAUGGUCCCUUGAUGAGACAUCCUUUCUGAGAGAAUACAGUCAGACAUUACGAAAAGAUGGCGAGUCAGAAAACAGUUUCUGGAACAACUGCGCAAUUGCAAUGAACAACAUGUUUGGUGAAAAAAACAGAACAGGGAAGUCCUGCAAGAUGGCAGCCUGGCGGUUAAAUCUUUCUGGUACAUGUAACAGCACCAUGUGUACUUCUGUUAAUGAAGACUUUGUGGAUUUUACGCCGCUGUCAGAGACAAAAGGAAACAAUGUGGGAACCCAGACUGAUUUGUCUUUUAAUAAUAAGCAAA
Molecule: long non-coding RNA, 1035 nt
Organism: Dreissena polymorpha
Lineage: Eukaryota; Metazoa; Mollusca; Bivalvia; Myida; Dreissenidae
Exons: 3
Source: RefSeq, a predicted model, not a curated record